AUACUAACCACGAGUUACUAAUCAUAGUUACAUCGCAAAGAUUAUAUCUCCCGGGAAAACAAGAUGCCAUGGUAAAAGCUUUGUAUAAUUGUGUCAUCGGGUUUCUCGGAAGGCAUCUCUUCUUCUUACCGUUCAAAAAAGGACCGACUGUUCAGAAUCAGACGCAAGGUGGCACCUUGGUACAGUCACGUAAGCGAUGUGUUUCUUAGUCACAUGCAUGGACGCCAUCCACGUUGGACUCCUUGAUGAAGACAACACCAUCUUCCAAGGCAUACAUGCCUAGUCAGAAAACAGAAGCAAAACAAUUUAAAUGAGUAACACAAUCGUGCAGUAAUACAACACGGUGAAUGGGUUCGAAUGCCAAUUAGGUUCGGCAGAGGGUGAUCGACAUGAUCAAUGGACAUCAAUAGCACAUCAUGAUUGAAUUGUAAAGAAUACAGUAAUCGGUGAAAGGGCAAAAUCUUAGCAACACGGAACUGCAGAACUGAUUAAUAUUAAGAACAAGCUUUGCGCACAUAGAUGAUUGCUUUAACGAUGACCAGCUUAAUCACUUGGAGAAAAAGAACCAAGUCACUCAUCCAGGUAUUAUAUGGGAAAAAAGGUCAUCGAAUCAGGUUGGUUUUUAGGCGAUCCUCCUCCACUUCUGCUCAAACGCGCUGCAAAUCUUGUUGAAGCAGCAUGCCGCACUCAGAGGGUAUUC
RNAcentral lists this long non-coding RNA (700 nucleotides) under Musa acuminata (dwarf banana). RNAcentral's name for it is "long non-coding RNA (MACU_LNC002134)". Lineage: Eukaryota; Viridiplantae; Streptophyta; Magnoliopsida; Zingiberales; Musaceae. The record is from RNAcentral.